This is a long non-coding RNA of Dermacentor albipictus, 1772 nucleotides long. RefSeq lists it as uncharacterized. NCBI's taxonomy places the organism in Eukaryota, Metazoa, Arthropoda, Arachnida, Ixodida, Ixodidae. The record is from RefSeq and is a predicted model, not a curated record.
GACCAUUAGACAUGGCAAACGCCAGCUCUAGGGCUCCAAAGUGCGGAAAUGUGCCCGUUCACACGGAUCCAAAGUAGAAGAAGUCAUCUGGGCAUCAUUGCGUCGUGUUUGGAUGCCAAAACAACCAGCGGAAAAGGAGCAGGUUGCUUAGCGCUGUUUGCGAAGAGCACAACACACGUAGGGAAUCGUGCCGGUGCGGUGUUUUCAGCCUGCGCCGAUUUCCAUCCGCAACGAAGAAUGCCAAGCUGCGUCACCGGUGGAUAGCUGCAGUGAAUAGGAAGAACUACCAACCCAGUGAAAAUGCACGAGGAGCGCCAACAAUCCGAUGGCCUCGCACAAGCAAAACAGGUCUGGUACCAGGUAGCUGCAGUUGUGUGCAGGUGGUGAAGGGCAGGCGUCUGCUAACCAGGCAGUCAAACGACCUCGCCAGUUGGUUGCCAAGCGCGGCCAACCCAGUAGAGACCAUUACAAACAAGACCAAACUGAAAGUGCAGAUGACAGUGUUCUGCGUGCUUUAAUAAUAUAUGGCACCAACACAGUGCUGUAAAUUCCUUCACAGGUUACGUGCCAAAAAGCUCACAGGUGUUCUAGCAUAUAGCGCGCGGUUUGUACAAACGUAAUAGCGUACCUACCCGAUGUAUUCGCUUCUGCAGUCUGCACAGCACUCAGUGUGUCCAUUGUGGACUUGCACGAGGUCUUGAAGUUUGAUUGAAUCCAGACAGCGAAAAUGACAGGUUAGAAAAAACGUGAAACACGCCUUCCGCCCAGCUAAAAAGCCCAAGUUUCGCUUUCGCGCCGGGUCGCAUCUCCCGGCGUGGCAGCCCAGGCCUGCUACUUCGCGGCGCUUGGGAUAGAUGGCGGGACCGGUGCUCAUCAAUAUGGCAGCGCCCUUUGAAUUCACGGUGUUCUGGUGUAUAGAGGGGAUGGCAUCUCGGCUGGCGCAGCGCAACCGACGUAGCGUGACUGACCGCGAACGACGCUCGCCCCCGCGCCGAUAACGUCGGACUAUAAACGGGCCUUAACAGUUUUUGGCAGGUGACAGGCGGUCAUCGACAAAAGGGUAACCAAUGUACGCGUGCCAAUAAUGGCAGUGAUUAUGUUGGGUAUUCGUUGUGAGGGGCAGGGCGGCUUAUCAUUUCAAAUACAUUCUGUAUAGCGUGUUUAUCUGUACUUGUGUGUCCUGUUUCAACCACAUUGCAGCAUUUGACGCAUUAAUGAACACUUAAAGCCGUGUAUUGAUUGGUUCCGAUGUCCAUUCUGCUGGCUUGUAUGAUAAUUAUGGAACCACUCACCAUUGCUAUCUACAAAUGUUACGUGAUAUAGACCUAACAGACUAUUCGUAUUGUGGAUUGUUCGUUUUACCAGAUCAUCUGCCUUCUGGUUACGGCAAUGAGGGUGGAAAGAUAUUAUCAGUGCAUUUCUCCAUAAUCGAUGCAAACUUGUUUUAUACAGGCGGUGGUAGACAUAUGUAAUAAGAAUAUCUUUCAGUGAUAUACACCGCUAUGACCAGAGUAUAAUAUCAGUCGCCAUAAUACAGAAUAAGCAAGUGUGCAAUAAAAAAAAGUAGGCUUGGCGAGCAAUAUGCCCCAUUAUAACCAAAUGCCACCACGAAGCAGAACAUUUGCCUUAUUUUAUUCAUUUUCAGAGCUACUUUGAUUGAAGGUCAACUCAUUCUUGAUAGGAAAACCUCCGAAUCAUGAAGUGGGUGAACAACAGAGAAGUGCGGUACCUAUGUAUUCACGUCGCUGAUGUGGACACUAGGAAUUAAAAGG